GCAAACUUGGUCAUUUAGAGGAAGUAAAAGUCGUAACAAGGUUUCCGUAGGUGAACCUGCGGAAGGAUCAUUAACAAAAAAUAUUAUUAUUAUAAUGUUAAUUAUUCACCCAAUUUUAUGUGAAGUUUUGUAUAAAAGUGUGAUAACUCUGGUAUGGUUUUUUUCGAAUGGUCAUCUUUUAGGUGAGGUUUGAGAAAUAAAUUGCCUGCCAGUAGUUUUAUCUAAUAAACUAUUGUUAUAUUUUUGUGUAUGUAUUUGUUUUAUUCUGAUGAAAGUUACUGAUGAAUUUCACCUGAAAUGAAUUAGAAAACUGAAUUCAAAAAUUAACUCAAUACAACUUGCAACAAUGGAUCUCUUGGCUCUUGCAUCGAUGAAGAACGCAGC
RNAcentral lists this unclassified non-coding RNA (384 nucleotides) under uncultured fungus. RNAcentral describes it as "partial contains small subunit ribosomal RNA, internal transcribed spacer 1, and 5.8S ribosomal RNA". The stretch from base 1 to 73 matches the Rfam family "Eukaryotic small subunit ribosomal RNA", at positions 1759 to 1831 of the family's 1831-position model. Lineage: Eukaryota; Fungi. The record is from RNAcentral.